CAAUGAGAACCGGUUCGCCAUGUCUGGGAUAAAACCCUCGUAGCGCGCUACCGUCAACCUCUACCCUUGUGUAUUAUUCAACUGUUGCUUUGGUGGGCCGCGAGCCUUAACGGUGAGCACCGGCUUCGGCUGGAGAGUGCUUGUCAGAGGACCCCAACUCUGUAGUAUUGAAGUCUGAGUACUAUUAAAUAGUUA
Molecule: unclassified non-coding RNA, 195 nt
Filed under: uncultured fungus
Lineage: Eukaryota; Fungi
Description: sequence contains ITS1, 5.8S rRNA gene
Source: RNAcentral